UGCCUGCUGGUCCCUCUAAGCAACCUCAC
Molecule: non-coding RNA, 29 nt
Filed under: Rattus norvegicus (Norway rat)
Lineage: Eukaryota; Metazoa; Chordata; Mammalia; Rodentia; Muridae
Source: RNAcentral